RNAcentral lists this non-coding RNA (158 nucleotides) under chicken gut metagenome. The record is from RNAcentral.
UUAUUCAGGUAUCACUGUUAAUCUGUGGUUUAAUAGGGAAGCGGAUGAGAUUUUCGCACGAACCUGUCACCGUGAAGAUGCUUGCUUUGCAUUAUGUCACUGCCAAAAGCGGGAAGGCGUAAAGCAUAUGAGUCCAAGUCGGGAGACCUGCCUGAAAU